Molecule: long non-coding RNA, 618 nt
Organism: Mus musculus (house mouse)
Lineage: Eukaryota; Metazoa; Chordata; Mammalia; Rodentia; Muridae
Product: predicted gene, 34675
Exons: 3
Source: RefSeq, a predicted model, not a curated record
AGAAACAACGCACAAGGAACCUGGCAUAGGAAACAGCUACUGGGUCCUGUAAGACUUUCCAGGACACCAAGGCCAGACGGGAAUGAGGCAAGAGUGGGGGAAACCAUACAAGGGACUCAAUCUUCAGGGUCUGCAUUGCCGCUGUUCUUUUACCGUGAAAAAUAUCAAGAUCAGAACACCCGAGACAGCUCAGCAGCCACAGGUGCUUCCUAUGAGUGGAUCUAUAAGUUCAACCCUCAGGAUCCCCAGGGAAGAAGACACAGGUGAGAAAAGGAUUAUUUGGAGAUUCUGAUGAAAUAUACGUCACUGGUGAAUGAAACAGACCAAGUCUACAAGUCAGCAAGAGAAACCAAAAGGCAUGACACCAGGGCAGGAGGCUGGAAGGAGGGAGUAUUAAUAUGGCAGUUUCAAUUGGAACCUUCAACACAGAACCUUCCCAAGAGGGAGAGCACGGGAGCCUUGGAUGGUAAAUGAAAGGCUACAUUCUGUCUGGGAGAACAGAAACCUGGAAGAGUCUCAAGUUCCCUUCCUCAACAAAAAAGAAGGAGCAAGCCACUCCCCUUUACUGUAACUCCCCACCCAUUCCUCUGUUACUAACCCCAAUAAAAACAUAUUGGU